UACGUAGGGAGCAAGCGUUGUCCGGAAUCAUUGGGCGUAAAGAGCGCGUAGGCGGCCCUGUAAGUCCGUUCUGAAAGUCAAAGGCUCAACCUUUGAAAGCGGAUGGAUACUGCAGGGCUAGAGUCCGGAAGAGGCGAGUGGAAUUCCUGGUGUAGUGGUGAAAUGCGUAGAUAUCCGGAGGAACACCAGUGGCGAAGGCGAGUCCCUGGACAACUCCUGACGCUGAGGCACGAAAGCUAGGGGAGCAAACAGG
This 253-nucleotide ribosomal RNA is filed under the name uncultured bacterium. Its description in RNAcentral is "partial 16S ribosomal RNA". It matches the Rfam family "Bacterial small subunit ribosomal RNA", at positions 524 to 776 of the family's 1533-position model. The record is from RNAcentral.